GCAUACGGGGACAUCAGGGAGCUGCUGUGGGAGUCAGGAGGGGUUUGAUUCUCUUCGCCGUUUUCAAAGCCUCAUUCCCCCGCAAGUGGGAAGCAUAAACCUGUUCAAGGUUCAAUUCCUGUGGCGAGUCAAAACUGGACCAACCAACCAGCCCUAAUCCGGACUGAAAUCCCCCGCCGACAAAAAUAGCACAAGGGGACGAAGCUCAGGAGCGCCUGUUGACUUGAAUUCUGGUGUUGGACACGGGGGGGCCGCGAUCCUGUAUGUAGAAUCAAUCAGUCAAUGCAUAGAUGCAGAAGAGCGGGAUUGGAAAGGGGGAGUUUCGACAACAAUUCGGUUCGAUUCCAUCCGGAGUGCUUGGGAUGAAGAAUGCCAGGAUUGAAAUUAUGGUUAAAAGCACUCCCUGUCCCUGUCCAUGCGCCGCAACUAAACCUUCGCGCGCCGGUCUUAUUCAUAGCAGGAAUGGCGCAGAGGGAG
RNAcentral lists this small RNA (477 nucleotides) under Histoplasma capsulatum. Its description in RNAcentral is "hypothetical RNA". The record is from RNAcentral. RNAcentral also lists the same sequence under 1 other name. Lineage: Eukaryota; Fungi; Ascomycota; Eurotiomycetes; Onygenales; Ajellomycetaceae.